This 253-nucleotide ribosomal RNA is filed under the name uncultured bacterium. RNAcentral describes it as "partial 16S ribosomal RNA". It matches the Rfam family "Bacterial small subunit ribosomal RNA", at positions 524 to 776 of the family's 1533-position model. The record is from RNAcentral.
UACGUAGGGGGCAAGCGUUAUCCGGAAUUACUGGGUGUAAAGGGAGAGUAGGCGGCAAGGUAAGCGAUAUGUGAAAGCCUUAGGCUUAACCUGAGGAUUGCAUAACGAACUAUCUAGCUAGAGUACAGGAGAGGAAAGCGGAAUUCCUAGUGUAGCGGUGAAAUGCGUAGAUAUUAGGAAGAACACCAGUGGCGAAGGCGGCUUUCUGGACUGAAACUGACGCUGAGGCUCGAAAGCGUGGGGAGCAAACAGG